Molecule: transfer RNA, 83 nt
Filed under: Oscillospiraceae bacterium
Lineage: Bacteria; Bacillati; Bacillota; Clostridia; Eubacteriales; Oscillospiraceae
Description: tRNA-Leu
Rfam family: tRNA
About the family: Transfer RNA (tRNA) molecules are approximately 80 nucleotides in length. Their secondary structure includes four short double-helical elements and three loops (D, anti-codon, and T loops). Further hydrogen bonds mediate the characteristic L-shaped molecular structure. tRNAs have two regions of fundamental functional importance: the anti-codon, which is responsible for specific mRNA codon recognition, and the 3' end, to which the tRNAs corresponding amino acid is attached (by aminoacyl-tRNA synthetases). tRNAs cope with the degeneracy of the genetic code in two manners: having more than one tRNA (with a specific anti-codon) for a particular amino acid; and 'wobble' base-pairing, i.e. permitting non-standard base-pairing at the 3rd anti-codon position.
Source: RNAcentral
GCCGGUGUGAUGGAAUGGUAGACGUAGCGGAUUCAAAAUCCGCCGGUGGCGACACCGUGUGGGUUCGAGUCCCACAACCGGCA